RNA transcript from Fukomys damarensis (Damara mole-rat), 1529 nucleotides. It is a transcript of the gene named RWD domain containing 4, with no coding region annotated. The record is from RefSeq and is a predicted model, not a curated record. The transcript is spliced from 9 exons. NCBI's taxonomy places the organism in Eukaryota, Metazoa, Chordata, Mammalia, Rodentia, Bathyergidae.
GGGCGGAGCCUCCGCCGUUACCGCCCCGCAACUUCUACCCGGACGCCGGGAAGCGCCCCUUAGGUGCCCUGAGUCUCCUGGCUCCGCGCCCACGGCCCACAGUGCCCGGCUUCAAGCUGACGAGUGUCACGGCUGCGCGUGAUCUUGGCUCUACCGCUGCGAAGAGGGUGCUGCCUUACCUCGCAGCCGAGGCACAGAAAGGGGACGCCCUGGCCUCGGGGCCACUGUGCUCGCUUUCAGUGCGCAGUCGCGAGCGCUGUCGGCCUGGAAGGCGGCCGGCGCGAUGAGCGCCAACGAGGACCAGGAGAUGGAACUAGAAGCAUUACGUUCUAUUUAUGAAGGAGAUGAAAGUUUCCGGGAAUUAAGUCCAGUUUCAUUUCAAUAUAGGAUAGGUGAAAGUGGUGAUCCCAAAGCCUUCUUAAUAGAGAUUUCAUGGACAGAAACAUACCCCCAGACACCUCCAAUUAUAUCUAUGAAUGCUUUUUUUAACAACACCAUAUCAUCGGCUGUAAAGCAAAGUAUAUUAGCCAAGUUACAGGAAGCAGUGGAAGUUAACCUUGGAACUGCUAUGACUUAUACAUUGUUUGAGUAUGCCAAAGACAAUAAAGAGCAAUUCAUGGAAAAUCACCAUCCUGUUAAUUCCACAACAUCCAUAAGCAAUAUCAUCUCAGUUGAAACUCCUAGUAUAGCCCCAUCAAGUAAGAAAAAAGAAAAGAAAGAACUUUCAAAAGCUCAGAAACGCAAGCUGGCAGAUAAAACAGAUCACAAAGGAGAACUUCCUCGAGGCUGGAACUGGGUUGAUGUUGUAAAGCAUUUGAGCAAAACUGGUUCUAAAGAUGAUGACUAGCACUUGGAAUUUGACAUAAGGAAAGAGCAUCCUUUAAAAAGUAAACUGGGUUCAACAUCUUUCAUUACUAUUUUCUGGUAUUGAGGUGGCUUUUUAUAAAAUACAGUUUUUGUAUGUUUCUCACAUAAUAAAUGUAAGCGGAAAAUUCAUGAAGAGAUCUGGUUGUACUAAAUUAUUUUCACAAAUUUGCCUUAACAAAAGGUGAAAAUGUUAGUUUAGUAGACUUUAUAAAACCCGGAGAGCUUACUAAAUGAACAAACAUAGGGGACAACAGUAAAUUUAUAUGAACUUAUUCUGGUGGAUGUGAUCAUUUUUAAAGAAAUAUGAAACCCUCUUCAAACUGUCAAAGUGGAAUAUUGAGUGUAUAAUUAUUUUAUAUCAUGAUUCAUAUUAAUAGGCUCCUUAUCCUAAAUAAAGUCUUCAUCUCUUCUUUUGCUUAAUUACUGGUAUAGAAUUUACUUCAGAGAAAUUUAAAUACCAGUAUUUGAACUUUAUAUCACACUCUUUAUAGUUACUUUUUAUUUUUCAACGGUAAACUCUUGAUUUGGGUCAAGAUGUUUGAUCGUGACAGCUUUCAAUAAUAAAUAUAAUACAGUACAAAAACCGAUCUGCCAAUUAUAUUAGAAAACAUUUUCAUAAAGCAAACAAUGAUGGUGCAAGCCUAUAAUCCCAGCACCCUGGA